GACGAACGCUGGCGGCGUGCUUAACACAUGCAAGUCGAACGGAAAGGCCCUGCUUUUGUGGGGUGCUCGAGUGGCGAACGGGUGAGUAACACGUGAGUAACCUGCCCUUGUCUUUGGGAUAACUUCUGGAAACUGGGGCUAAUACCGGAUAGGAGCUCCUGCUGCAUGGUGGGGGUUGGAAAGUUUCGGCGGUUGGGGAUGGACUCGCGGCUUAUCAGCUUGUUGGUGGGGUAGUGGCUUACCAAGGCUUUGACGGGUAGCCGGCCUGAGAGGGUGACCGGCCACAUUGGGACUGAGAUACGGCCCAGACUCCUACGGGAGGCAGCAGUGGGGAAUAUUGCACAAUGGGCGGAAGCCUGAUGCAGAAACGCAGCGUGCGGGAUGACGGCCUUCGGGUUGUAAACCGCUUUCGCAUGUGACGAAGCGUGAGUGACGGUAAUGGGUAAAGAAGCACCGGCUAACUACGUG
Molecule: ribosomal RNA, 468 nt
Filed under: uncultured bacterium
Lineage: Bacteria
Description: partial 16S ribosomal RNA
Rfam family: Bacterial small subunit ribosomal RNA
Source: RNAcentral